This 253-nucleotide ribosomal RNA is filed under the name uncultured bacterium. RNAcentral describes it as "partial 16S ribosomal RNA". It matches the Rfam family "Bacterial small subunit ribosomal RNA", at positions 524 to 776 of the family's 1533-position model. The record is from RNAcentral.
UACAGAGGGUGCAAGCGUUGUCCGGAUUGACUGGGCGUAAAGCGCACGCAGGCGGAUGCGCGCGUGGGGUGUGAAAUCUGGCCGCUUAACGGCCAGGCGCCAUCCCAUACGGCGCGUCUGGAGUGAUGCAGAGGUCGGUGGAAUUGCCGGUGUAGUGGUGAAAUGCGUAGAGAUCGGCAGGAACACCCAGGGGGAAACCAGCCGACUGGGCAUCGACUGACGCUGAGGUGCGAGAGCGUGGGGAGCGAACCGG